RNAcentral lists this ribosomal RNA (463 nucleotides) under uncultured Lysobacteraceae bacterium. RNAcentral's name for it is "uncultured Xanthomonadaceae bacterium partial 16S ribosomal RNA". It matches the Rfam family "Bacterial small subunit ribosomal RNA", at positions 338 to 794 of the family's 1533-position model. The record is from RNAcentral. Lineage: Bacteria; Pseudomonadati; Pseudomonadota; Gammaproteobacteria; Lysobacterales; Lysobacteraceae.
CCUACGGGAGGCAGCAGUGGGGAAUAUUGGACAAUGGGCGCAAGCCUGAUCCAGCCAUACCGCGUGGGUGAAGAAGGCCUUCGGGUUGUAAAGCCCUUUUGUUGGGAAAGAAAUCCAGCCGGCUAAUACCUGGUUGGGAUGACGGUACCCAAGAAUAAGCACCGGCUAACUUCGUGCCAGCAGCCGCGGUAAUACGAAGGGUGCAAGCGUUACUCGGAAUUACUGGGCGUAAAGCGUGCGUAGGUGGUUAUUAAAGUCCGUUGUAAAAGCCCUGGGCUCAACCUGGAAACUGCAGUGGAUACUGGAGGACUAGAAUGUGGUAGAGGGUAGCGAAAUUCCUGGUGUAGCAGUAAAAUGCGUAGAGAUCAGGAGGAACAUCCAUGGCGAAGGCAGCUACCUGGACCAACAUUGACACUGAGGCACGAAAGCGUGGGGAGCAAACAGGAUUAGAUCCCCCGGUAGU